GACGAACGCUGGCGGCGUGCUUAACACAUGCAAGUCGAGCGGUAAGGCCCUUUCGGGGGUACACGAGCGGCGAACGGGUGAGUAACACGUGGGUGACCUGCCCUUAGCUCUGGGAUAAGCCUGGGAAACUGGGUCUAAUACCGGAUAUGACUCCAUGACGCAUGUUGUGGGGUGGAAAGCCUUGUGCGGCUAGGGGAUGGGCCCGCGGCCUAUCAGCUUGUUGGUGGGGUGANGGCCUACCAAGGCGACGACGGGUAGCCGGCCUGAGAGGGCGACCGGCCACACUGGGACUGAGACACGGCCCAGACUCCUACGGGAGGCAGCAGUGGGGAAUCUUGCGCAAUGGGCGAAAGCCUGACGCAGCGACGCCGCGUGGGGAUGACGGCCU
RNAcentral lists this ribosomal RNA (388 nucleotides) under uncultured bacterium. RNAcentral describes it as "bacterial SSU rRNA". It matches the Rfam family "Bacterial small subunit ribosomal RNA", at positions 28 to 417 of the family's 1533-position model. The record is from RNAcentral.